GUUGGUUGUGUCAGAUGGUGCACUGCUGGGGCAGACGCGUGAAGGAGUGUUUUCCUGAAGCAGACACAGAAGCACAGCAGAAAGCUUCUCCUGGCGGCCCUGCUGGCUCUCGUCACUCUGCUGACUUGGGCCAAUUUGGCUGAGGCCUGGCAGUUUCUGCUGACUCGUGUUUGCUACCCUGACUCUACUGAACUGGACUGGUGGGAUAUCCUGACAACACAGAUCGAAUUUGCUCCAAAGAACAAUUUCUAAACAGGUCCACUUCCCCCAUGUCCUAAUAACCAUCCUUUUCCACUGCCUCUGUGGGUGGUGGGCUGGAAGGAGGUUAAAGUAUUUAAGCUGUUACAUGGAGCAGUCUUCUUCUUUUUUUUUUUUUUUUUAAAGAUUUAUUCAUUUAUUAAAUACAAGUACACUGUAGCUGUCUUCAGAUACGCCAGAAGAGGGCAUCAGAUCUCAUUACAGAUGGUUGUGAGCCACCAUGUGGUUGCUGGGAAUUGAACUCAGGACCUCUGGAAGAGCAGUCGGGUGCUCUUAACCGCUGAGACAUCUCUCCAGCCCAUGGAGCAGUCUUUUGCCAGCCAUUGCUUGAUUUUAAACCUCUCUCAUCUCAGUCUAACCCAGACCAUGGAGACUAGCAAUGGAGAACAGCCCAGAUGAGCUAACCAUGUCUCGUUCAUUGACAAUACUUGGGGUGUUGUUGUUCUUGUUUGAGACAGGGUCUCACUAUAUAGAAAAUACAAAAAUCUGUCUCCCUGUGUCUGCUCCUUGAUUGCUGAAAUUAAAGGCAUGCACCACCAUGUCCAACAAUA
Non-coding RNA from Rattus norvegicus (Norway rat), 809 nucleotides. Lineage: Eukaryota; Metazoa; Chordata; Mammalia; Rodentia; Muridae. The record is from RefSeq and is a predicted model, not a curated record.